ACGCUCGACACCUACGGGGGGCAGCAGUAGGGAAUCUUCCACAAUGGACGCAAGUCUGAUGGAGCAACGCCGCGUGAGUGAAGAAGGUUUUCGGAUCGUAAAGCUCUGUUGUUGGUGAAGAAGGAUAGAGGUAGUAACUGGCCUUUAUUUGACGGUAAUCAACCAGAAAGUCACGGCUAACUACGUGCCAGCAGCAGCGGUAAUCUGAGCGGGCUGGCAAGGC
RNAcentral lists this ribosomal RNA (223 nucleotides) under uncultured bacterium. RNAcentral's name for it is "partial 16S ribosomal RNA". It matches the Rfam family "Bacterial small subunit ribosomal RNA", at positions 328 to 539 of the family's 1533-position model. The record is from RNAcentral.